Molecule: long non-coding RNA, 4976 nt
Organism: Meriones unguiculatus (Mongolian gerbil)
Lineage: Eukaryota; Metazoa; Chordata; Mammalia; Rodentia; Muridae
Exons: 4
Source: RefSeq, a predicted model, not a curated record
UCUGGGCUGGCAAUCAUUAGAGACAGAAUUAGAAUAAGCCAAAUCAGUCUCCAAAAUCCAUGUCCCCAGCACCUGCCACAUGUCUCCAUGGUUGACGCUAUUUAAGGAGAGAAUGAACAAGAUGCUUGCCGAAUUGCAAGGUGGAGCAGCUCCCCAGGAUCCACGGAAAUCUAUUGACUAAGCCAAGUCUACAAUGUUAAUUCCUACAAAUGAAGUUACACCGUCAAAGUUCGUCUGCCCUUCCCAGAAGUGCAUCCCCAACAGUGCGCUUGCCACCGUCCUCACCUGUACAGUGUACUCCAGUCUUUGGAUAUGUCAAUCAAUUUGAGUUCUUCUUUUAUUGCACAGGGUCUUGCCCGUCCCAGCCUGGUUUUGAAUUCACUACGUAGCUGAAGAUGACCUCGAACCUCUCGUCAUCCUGCCUGCACCUCCAGUGAGUGCAGGGAUUACAGGAGCAUGCAUCCCCACACUCAGCCUGUGCUAAGGAUUGAAGGUGGCUCUGCAGGCUAGCCACGUGCUCCACCGAGAGAACCACAGCCCUGCUGGCCUCGGAUUCCUCACACCGCCACGUCACACCUGCUGUGCUGAGUGAUGUUCAAAACAUUCAUUAGUUUUAAAACAGUAAUGUGUCCGUUACAUGUUAACUAGAUAACACGUCUUAGGAGAAACAUCUGUGUCUUCCAAAACAAAAAGGCAACUUGAUGAGGAGAACACCACUGUCUUACAUCUCCGUGGCCCCCUUCAGUAACAAUAUCAAAACUUAGAAGGGCUGGGAGUUUGUGUGUAUUCCUGGAAUCCGUUUCUUACAUGCUAUAUUAGGUAAAUACAGAAAAGAAAAAGCUGGCUUUUCACAGGUGUAUGGCUGUAAUUGGAAAGGAAAACAUGUAUUUUUAAAACUGAAAAACUAAUAGGCGAGUUUGGAGUCCUCGCAGAACUCCCCGGGGAACAGGCACUUUCCGUCCGCCCUCUGCCCCGUGCAGGCAAAGCCUCACACGACAUGCUUUACAAGGUUGCAUGCCAUUCUUGUGCAGAGGCCAUGCUGACCUUCUCUGUCUUGUUCCGAGUGAAAAAAUAUCUUAUUACAUUUUUCAAAUAAUUAGGAACAUUCUUUGCUAGUGAGAGCCGUUUGAAAGUUAGCUGUAACAUGGAAUAUGGAAGCCAGUCAUUUAAAUGUGUCGUGCUCUUCCAUGAAAAUGGAUUGGUUUAAUCUCUGAGUGGAUCUUUUACCUAUUCAUGACUUUAUAGCAAUGUGCUGAUCAUUUGAAUAACUUUGCUUCUGAAUCAUACAGGGCUUCUAAAUCUUGACUUAUUUCAUUAUGUAACGAUAAAAAAGAAAAUCACAAGAGUAAAUGUCACCACUACUUUUACCAGAAAAAUCUUAACGUUUUAGAAGCUGCCAAGCUGGUGGAGGCACAAAUAAGCUUUCUAAAAUUCUAGUUUUCAUUUGACAGCUCAGACUUGAUCAUGGGCAAUAAAUCCUAGCAGUCACUGGGCUGGGGAUAUGGCUCAUUUGAUAGAAGGUUUCCCUUCAGUAACUAGAAUAAGGCGGACAUAACACAAAUUUUAAAAAGUCUUCUCUCACUAAAUAUUACUGCUUUACUGAACCAUCUAGGAUAAAAGCAAAUGAAUAACCAUAUGAUGUUUUAAUUCCAUAAUCCCCUAUAAUCUUGCGAACCAGGACUCUCAAUGUAUAAAUAACUAGAGACAAUUAUAAAACAAAAGAAGCUAAGUAAAAAACUGGUCUGGAAUAGAAAUUACUAUAAACUCAUGAGGAUUUUGCCUUUGGAAACUAUGAAUAAAAAUUUAGUAGCUAGGCAGUGGUGGUGCACCCCUUUGAUCCCAGCUCUAGAGAGGCAGAGGCAGGUAGAUCUCUGUGAGUUCAAGGCCAGUCUGGUCUAUAGAACAAGUUCCAGGACAGCCAAGACUGAAAACAAAAACAAAACAAAAACCUUUUUUUGAAAAAAGAAAAAGUUAGACAAAGAUGCUAAUUAACCUUAUUUACUGAAAGUGUCUAGAAACCAGCCUUCCAAUAGCAGUGAACUAACCUAGUUUCCAACAUGUGGUCUGGAAACAGGUCAUGAAAAUUCAGAGCAACUUAAAGAGAUCCAAGGUUCUGGGUCUGCAACAAGAAAUGCACAAUGCACCAAGAAUAUCCCAUAAUACCAUUUGCCUAGGAAAAAUAAUGUGACAUUUAAGAACACAAGAGCCAGCCAGGCAUGGUGGUGCAUGCUUGUAACCCCAGUGCUUGGGGAGGCAGAGGUAGGCGGAUCUCUGUGAGUUCAAGGCCAGCCUGAUCUACAAAUCGAGUCUAGGACAGCCAAGGCUCUACAGCGAAACCAAAAAAUAAAAAUAAAAAAAUAAAAAAAUAAAUAGAAGAGCCAACUAAAGAGGCUCAUAUUAUUAAGAGAGGAAAAUCUGAGCUUCAGAAAGAUAAUCAUAUUGAUGAUCAAAUGGAUUUAAACUCAUUAAUUCAUAAUCUUUUUUUAAAAAAAUAAGUAACUGGUUUAGGCACAGGUCUAAAACCCUAACUUUGGUAGAUGGAGGUAAAGAUGGAAAUUUCAAACCUGGCCCAUCUCAAAAUUAAUUAGUUAGUUAGUUAGUUAGUUAGUUAGUUAGUUAGUUAGUUUAAAAGGUAUAGAGUGCUUGUUUGACAAGUCCAAGGCCCUUCUCAGCAUUUCACCACCAACAACAAAAGCAAGUCAAACACAAAAGGCCACUGUGGGGUAAUUCCUCUCACAGAAGGCGUCAGAGUACGCAAAUGCACUAAAAGCAUUCAUCAAAAGAUUUCUAAGCCACUGAUUUGUAAGCAAAAUCAAUAAAGAUAGCCCUGCUACCUGUGCCUAGCCAAUGUUUUAGAUAUCCUAAUGAAGAUUAAAGUAACAAAUUAAAAAUUAAGUAAUAUAAAUCAGUGCAAAUGAUUUUUCUUUCCUUCUCCUCCUCCUUCUCCUCUUCCUCUCCUCUUCCUUCUCUCCUCCUCCUCUCCUUACUAUGUAGCUGAGGCCGGCCUAGAAAUUGCACUGCCCUGCCUCUAUGUCUUCAGCGCUGGAAUUACAGUCAGCAUGCACCACCACAGCUUGUUAAAGAUUUUAAAAUGAAAAACUCAAUAAAAAUUAUGAGUGUGGGGGGAGGGGUAGAAACUGGCCUCUCCAGUCUGUAUAUUUUUGUUUAUGUGUGCUGAAAAGUACUUUAAAAAUUAAACAAAAUUGUCAAUUAGAGUAUUUCAUAUGAGCAACCAAUUUUCUAGUUCAUUUUUAAUUAUUAGAAAAUAUGGUUCAGCGGAAUUACAUAUGACAUAGGAAAGGGGCAACGGAAGGAUCUUAGAAAGCACAUCUCAGAAUGUGUACCCCAGUUCCGUGACACACAGCUCUUCUCCAACUGUGCUGUUAUCACAACCACCAUAAAGUUACGUACGCGAAGAGAAGGGUGGAAGUCCAGAAGUGGGCAAACACGUGCCUGCACGAAAUAGAGGAAACAGAAGCCAGAGUAUGUGAGAACCUCAUGUACCACUAAGGUGGAAUUUCAGUUCCGGAGAGAAAGAUAAUUUAUUUACCAAAGUGGCAUAGCGAGCUAGCCAUCUGGGAGAAACGCACAUCACACACAAAAAUAAAUUCCAGAUGGAUUCCGCAUUAUACAUAACAAACAUGAAAUGAAACUCUUAGGAAAUUUAGGAGAGCAACCAACCUUGGGGUGAGAGAGGCAUUUUUAAAUAUGACAGAAAACUCAGACGCAAUAAAUGAAAAGGCAGACAUAUUUGACAACAUACAAUUUAACAUUUUUAUACAGCAAAAACAUCAGCCUGAGUCUGGAAAAAAAAAAAAAAACAGUUCUCUUGAAAAAUACUUGCAGCAUACCCAUUCCGUUAAGAAAUAUUUGUUUUAAAAUUUAAAAUUCAAUAGUUGCUACAGAUGCGAAGCUGAAUGGAAUGAAGAAUAUCCUUGCAUUCACAAUCUUACAUUCUAUGGCAGGUGAUCCAUUUGAGUGAUGACACAGAGUUCUUGCAAGUGAAAGAGAGCAAAGAGCAAAUGGAAACGCAGGAAAGUACAAAUGAGGGCUGCAGUUAACUGUACCGACAUGGACGGAUGCUUCCGGCAUUCUCAGGGAGAUGAAGCACGCCUCCUGCCUGCUCUGCCUGCAGUGACUUCCCGCUGGCAGCUUGCUUUUAGUGAUUGUGGGAAUAUUUACACCAAGGAAGUUAGCAAAUGUUACGGAUCCCAUUUUCAACGAUUGCACUGUUGGCUGUCUAAAAUUCAGAAAGAAAAUAUUAAAAUAUAUUUUCACCUUAAAGGUGUGGCCUGUCUACAGUCUCUGUGAAUAGGAGAAAAUAUUAAGCUGGUCUCUACCUCUGAAGAUUCCCCAAUUCAGGAAAUGCAUAGCUUCUAUCACUGAUGAAUGAGGAACAUCUCAUCAGGUAACUCUGGAGCUGAAAGAAAUAUCAGCUGGUGAAUAUAAUUGGUAUAAGCCAAUAAAAAAUAAAAUAAAAUAAAAUAAAAACAAGCUUCUGAAUACAUCAUGUUCCAAACUUGAUAACAUUAUGGGGUGGGGGAGGAUGGCUAGUGAAUUGGGUUGAAGUCCCACCUGCAGAAUCACGGUUGAGUUGCAACCUUAGAGCACAUGCUCCUAUAACUUCAGCAAAAAACACCCAAACCAUUCAACAAUAUUCAUGGGUCCCAUGAAAGUUUUCAAAAGUCCUGGAUGGGGCUGGAGAGAUGGCUCAGUGGUGAAGAGCACUGGCUGUUCUUCCAAAGGACCCCUGUUCAAUUCCCAGCACCACAUAGCAGCUCACAACUGUCUGUAACUCCAGUUCCAGGGGACCCAAUGCCCUCUGCUGGACCCUGAGAACACCAGAUAUGCAUGUGGUGCAAAGACAUAUACGCAGGCAAAACAGUCAGACACAUAAAAUAAAAGUAAAUAAAUCUUUUUUUUAAGACAGAAAAAAGUCCUGGGUCUUUUUUAUUUGUAAGUUGCGUAGUACUAUU